AGGCCUGCCCUAAGAGUCUGAGACAGGAGAACACACGUCUACAGAGAGCCUGCCUAGAGUCUGGAUUUUUUAAGCUGCUGGAUACCAGGUGCUACCUGACACCAGCUCAUCCCCUGCCUCUAGAGUCCUGGAGGGCUUUGAGUUGAUCACUUUCCACUCCAGGAAUGUUAUAAGAAACCGCUCAGAAAGGUGAUUGCAAAUCUAUGGAUGAGACCAAGGGAGAAUUUUCACGCCAUCAUAGCAUUUUAUUCCUCACCUGACUGGGAGCAGCUCGAAGGGAAGGACAUGUCUCCAAAGACAUGAGGAGUAUUCAACGUGGCAUUCGAGGCGCAAGGAAAAACCUGCCUAUCCCAAGAUCUCAGCCCCAUCAGCCAGCCAAGGGAUCCACAAUGACCCUUAUGAAGUUUCAUAAGGAAGCUAAUUGCUUAAAUGAGAUUUGAGUCAAGAAGGAUGACCUAGCAAUAACCUCUAUAUAUCUCAUUAUGCCAAAACUUAAAUGGCUACAUAAGAGGACAGUCCAGUGACAGACAUGGAAAGAGGCUUAGAGGUCAUCUCAUUCAUCACACCAUUUUACAGAGGAAAGCAAAAUGCCAUCCAGAGAAGGAAAGUCACAAAGCCAUCUAACCCCAGACCUGGGAGUAGCAGCUGAUCACAGCGGGUCGGACACAAGAAGCUGCUUCCAAAAAUCUUUCCUUCCAUUUGUCCUACAGAGAAGACAUCAGAAAACAAAAUUUUAUAAGCAUGUCUCUAGCUCUAACUCACUAUUCAACUAAAGGACAAAUUAAAUAGGGAAUGAGAUAACCUUAACUUCAUGAGAUUUGUUCUUAUAUGCAGUUUUCUACCCUGAGAAACCAAUCUAUGCUAAAGAUAAUAUUUGUGCUUUUCAAUGAGGCUGGUAAAAUAUUUGCACUUUGAAGCUCAGAGCGAUAACAUUUAUUCAUUCGGGUGAAACUUAUCAGGAUUAGGUAAAUAUAAUCGAAGCAAAACAAAAAUGAUUUGGGAAACUUUGUGACCAAAACCAACAGGCGUAUUCAGUACUCCUUUGAAGGUCACCUAAUUCUAAUAACAUUUAUAUUUAUAAAUGUCCUCUAAGUCUUUUAUCUUCUGCAAAUAAAUUAUUUCUCACAA
This 1128-nucleotide long non-coding RNA is filed under the name Homo sapiens (human). Its description in RNAcentral is "HSALNT0332472". The record is from RNAcentral. Lineage: Eukaryota; Metazoa; Chordata; Mammalia; Primates; Hominidae.